UGCCCUACGGGACGCAGCAGUGAGGAAUAUUGGUCAAUGGGCGGAAGCCUGAACCAGCCAAGUCGCGUGAGGGAAUAAGGCCCUACGGGUCGUAAACCUCUUUUGCCGGGGAGCAAGGGCCGGGACGCGUCCCGGCCCGGAGAGUACCCGGAGAAAAAGCAUCGGCUAACUCCGUGCCAGCAGCCGCGGUAAUACGGAGGAUCCGAGCGUUAUCCGGAUUUAUUGGGUUUAAAGGGAGCGUAGGUGGAUUGUUAAGUCAGUUGUGAAAGUUUGCGGCUCAACCGUAAAAUUGCAGUUGAAA
RNAcentral lists this ribosomal RNA (301 nucleotides) under uncultured bacterium. RNAcentral's name for it is "bacterial SSU rRNA". It matches the Rfam family "Bacterial small subunit ribosomal RNA", at positions 335 to 632 of the family's 1533-position model. The record is from RNAcentral.